This 466-nucleotide ribosomal RNA is filed under the name uncultured bacterium. RNAcentral's name for it is "partial 16S ribosomal RNA". It matches the Rfam family "Bacterial small subunit ribosomal RNA", at positions 28 to 507 of the family's 1533-position model. The record is from RNAcentral.
GACGAACGCUGGCGGCGUGCUUAACACAUGCAAGUCGAACGGUAAGGCUCCAGCUUGCUGGGGUACACGAGUGGCGAACGGGUGAGUAACACGUGGGUGACCUGCCCUGCACUUCGGGAUAAGCCUGGGAAACUGGGUCUAAUACCGGAUAGGACCAUGGAGUGGAUACUGUGGUGGAAAGUUUUUUCGGUGUGGGAUGGGCCCGCGGCCUAUCAGCUUGUUGGUGGGGUAUUGGCCUACCAAGGCAGCGACGGGUAGCCGACCUGAGAGGAAGGACGGCCACAUUGGGAAUGAGACAGGGCCGAGACUCGUACGGGAGACAGCAGUGGGGAAUAUUGCAAAAUGGGCGGAAGCCUGGUGCAGCGACGCUGCGUGGGGGAUGACGGCCUGCGGGUUGUAAACUACUUUCACCAUCGACGAAGGGUUUCUGACGGUAGAUGAAGAAGAAGCACCGGCUAACUACGUG